This 304-nucleotide long non-coding RNA is filed under the name Vigna radiata. RNAcentral's name for it is "long non-coding RNA (VRAD_LNC015863)". The record is from RNAcentral. Lineage: Eukaryota; Viridiplantae; Streptophyta; Magnoliopsida; Fabales; Fabaceae.
UGGCAAUGCAACUUUAGCUUCUCUCAAAGGAAUUCUUGGCUGGUUUAUGUGCCGUAAACAAAUCUUACAGCUGCAGCAUGGUGAAGGUUAAUUUUGCAGCAAGUAAACUACUUUUGCAGUAUCAGCAUAAGAGUUGGAAUCUGCAGCUUUGCAUGUGUCACUGCUGCACUGAAAAUUUAGCUUUCACAAUGAUCUUUUCCUUCACCAAAUCCUCUUCCUAAAGUGCUACCAAUUAUGUCAAGUUGUCUCCAACAAUGUUGUAACGACAAAUGAACUCACACCGGCACCAACAGUCAGUUAUCUC